UCCGUAGGUGAACCUGCGGAAGGAUCAAUACCGAAUUGUUGACACGAGUUGUUGCUGGCCUUCAAACGGGGGCACGUGCACGCUCUGUUUAUACAUCCACCCACCCCUGUGCACCUUUUGUAGUUCUGUGGUCUGGAGGCUCCGCUUCCCUUCUGCGGUUCUACGUCUUUACACACACACGUUAAAGAAGUCUGUGGAAUGUAUGCCGCGUUUAACGCAAUACAAUACAACUUUCAGCAACGGAUCUCUUGGCUCUCGCAUCGAUGAAGAACGCAGCGAAAUGCGAUAAGUAAUGUGAAUUGCAGAAUUCAGUGAAUCAUCGAAUCUUUGAACGCACCUUGCGCCCUUUGGCUAUUCCGAAGGGCAUGCCUGUUUGAGUAUCAUGAACACCUCAACCCUCACGGUUCCUCGUGAUGGGCUUGGACUUGGGGGCUUUGUUGGCCUGUGGUCAGCUCUCCUCAAAUAAAUCAGCUCGCCAGUGUCUGGCGGCAUCAUGGGUGUGAUAACCAUCUACGCUUGUGAUCGCCUGCGAGGUAAACCUCUGGUCUGCAGAGGUUCGCUGGAGCUUAUAGAUGUCUCUCCUCUGUGAAGACAGCUUUCUGAAGUUCGAUCUCAAAUCAGGUAGGACUACCCGCUGAACUUAAGCAUAUCAAUAAGCGGAGGAAAAGAAACUAACAAGGAUUCCCCUAGUAACUGCGAGUGAAGCGGGAAGAGCUCAAAUUUAAAAUCUGGCGUGCCUCCGGUCGUCCGAGUUGUAGUCUGGAGAAGCGUUUUCCGUGUUGGACCGUGUAUAAGUCUCUUGGAACAGGGCGUCAUAGAGGGUGAGAAUCCCGUCUUUGACACGGACUGCCAAUGCUUUGUGAUGCGCUCUCAAAGAGUCGAGUUGUUUGGGAAUGCAGCUCAAAAUGGGUGGUAAAUUCCAUCUAAAGCUAAAUAUAGGCGAGAGACCGAUAGCGAACAAGUACCGUGAGGGAAAGAUGAAAAG
RNAcentral lists this ribosomal RNA (985 nucleotides) under uncultured Tomentella/Thelophora. RNAcentral's name for it is "eukaryotic LSU rRNA". The stretch from base 608 to 985 matches the Rfam family "Eukaryotic large subunit ribosomal RNA", at positions 1 to 371 of the family's 3401-position model. The record is from RNAcentral. Lineage: Eukaryota; Fungi; Basidiomycota; Agaricomycetes; Thelephorales; Thelephoraceae.